This 2902-nucleotide ribosomal RNA is filed under the name human gut metagenome. RNAcentral's name for it is "bacterial LSU rRNA". It matches the Rfam family "Bacterial large subunit ribosomal RNA". The record is from RNAcentral.
UUAAGCGACUAAGCGUACACGGUGGAUGCCCUGGCAGUCAGAGGCGAUGAAGGACGUGCUAAUCUGCGAUAAGCGUCGGUAAGGUGAUAUGAACCGUUAUAACCGGCGAUUUCCGAAUGGGGAAACCCAGUGUGAUUCGUCACACUAUCAUUAACUGAAUCCAUAGGUUAAUGAGGCGAACCGGGGGAACUGAAACAUCUAAGUACCCCGAGGAAAAGAAAUCAACCGAGAUUCCCCCAGUAGCGGCGAGCGAACGGGGAGCAGCCCAGAGCCUGAAUCAGUGUGUGUGUUAGUGGAAGCGUCUGGAAAGGCGCGCGAUACAGGGUGACAGCCCCGUACACAAAAAUGCACAUGCUGUGAGCUCGAUGAGUAGGGCGGGACACGUGGUAUCCUGUCUGAAUAUGGGGGGACCAUCCUCCAAGGCUAAAUACUCCUGACUGACCGAUAGUGAACCAGUACCGUGAGGGAAAGGCGAAAAGAACCCCGGCGAGGGGAGUGAAAAAGAACCUGAAACCGUGUACGUACAAGCAGUGGGAGCACGCUUAGGCGUGUGACUGCGUACCUUUUGUAUAAUGGGUCAGCGACUUAUAUUCUGUAGCAAGGUUAACCGAAUAGGGGAGCCGAAGGGAAACCGAGUCUUAACUGGGCGUUAAGUUGCAGGGUAUAGACCCGAAACCCGGUGAUCUAGCCAUGGGCAGGUUGAAGGUUGGGUAACACUAACUGGAGGACCGAACCGACUAAUGUUGAAAAAUUAGCGGAUGACUUGUGGCUGGGGGUGAAAGGCCAAUCAAACCGGGAGAUAGCUGGUUCUCCCCGAAAGCUAUUUAGGUAGCGCCUCGUGAAUUCAUCUCCGGGGGUAGAGCACUGUUUCGGCAAGGGGGUCAUCCCGACUUACCAACCCGAUGCAAACUGCGAAUACCGGAGAAUGUUAUCACGGGAGACACACGGCGGGUGCUAACGUCCGUCGUGAAGAGGGAAACAACCCAGACCGCCAGCUAAGGUCCCAAAGUCAUGGUUAAGUGGGAAACGAUGUGGGAAGGCCCAGACAGCCAGGAUGUUGGCUUAGAAGCAGCCAUCAUUUAAAGAAAGCGUAAUAGCUCACUGGUCGAGUCGGCCUGCGCGGAAGAUGUAACGGGGCUAAACCAUGCACCGAAGCUGCGGCAGCGACGCUUAUGCGUUGUUGGGUAGGGGAGCGUUCUGUAAGCCUGCGAAGGUGUGCUGUGAGGCAUGCUGGAGGUAUCAGAAGUGCGAAUGCUGACAUAAGUAACGAUAAAGCGGGUGAAAAGCCCGCUCGCCGGAAGACCAAGGGUUCCUGUCCAACGUUAAUCGGGGCAGGGUGAGUCGACCCCUAAGGCGAGGCCGAAAGGCGUAGUCGAUGGGAAACAGGUUAAUAUUCCUGUACUUGGUGUUACUGCGAAGGGGGGACGGAGAAGGCUAUGUUGGCCGGGCGACGGUUGUCCCGGUUUAAGCGUGUAGGCUGGUUUUCCAGGCAAAUCCGGAAAAUCAAGGCUGAGGCGUGAUGACGAGGCACUACGGUGCUGAAGCAACAAAUGCCCUGCUUCCAGGAAAAGCCUCUAAGCAUCAGGUAACAUCAAAUCGUACCCCAAACCGACACAGGUGGUCAGGUAGAGAAUACCAAGGCGCUUGAGAGAACUCGGGUGAAGGAACUAGGCAAAAUGGUGCCGUAACUUCGGGAGAAGGCACGCUGAUAUGUAGGUGAAGCGACUUGCUCGUGGAGCUGAAAUCAGUCGAAGAUACCAGCUGGCUGCAACUGUUUAUUAAAAACACAGCACUGUGCAAACACGAAAGUGGACGUAUACGGUGUGACGCCUGCCCGGUGCCGGAAGGUUAAUUGAUGGGGUUAGCGCAAGCGAAGCUCUUGAUCGAAGCCCCGGUAAACGGCGGCCGUAACUAUAACGGUCCUAAGGUAGCGAAAUUCCUUGUCGGGUAAGUUCCGACCUGCACGAAUGGCGUAAUGAUGGCCAGGCUGUCUCCACCCGAGACUCAGUGAAAUUGAACUCGCUGUGAAGAUGCAGUGUACCCGCGGCAAGACGGAAAGACCCCGUGAACCUUUACUAUAGCUUGACACUGAACAUUGAGCCUUGAUGUGUAGGAUAGGUGGGAGGCUUUGAAGUGUGGACGCCAGUCUGCAUGGAGCCGACCUUGAAAUACCACCCUUUAAUGUUUGAUGUUCUAACGUGGACCCGUAAUCCGGGUUGCGGACAGUGUCUGGUGGGUAGUUUGACUGGGGCGGUCUCCUCCUAAAGAGUAACGGAGGAGCACGAAGGUUGGCUAAUCCUGGUCGGACAUCAGGAGGUUAGUGCAAUGGCAUAAGCCAGCUUGACUGCGAGCGUGACGGCGCGAGCAGGUGCGAAAGCAGGUCAUAGUGAUCCGGUGGUUCUGAAUGGAAGGGCCAUCGCUCAACGGAUAAAAGGUACUCCGGGGAUAACAGGCUGAUACCGCCCAAGAGUUCAUAUCGACGGCGGUGUUUGGCACCUCGAUGUCGGCUCAUCACAUCCUGGGGCUGAAGUAGGUCCCAAGGGUAUGGCUGUUCGCCAUUUAAAGUGGUACGCGAGCUGGGUUUAGAACGUCGUGAGACAGUUCGGUCCCUAUCUGCCGUGGGCGCUGGAGAACUGAGGGGGGCUGCUCCUAGUACGAGAGGACCGGAGUGGACGCAUCACUGGUGUUCGGGUUGUCAUGCCAAUGGCACUGCCCGGUAGCUAAAUGCGGAAGAGAUAAGUGCUGAAAGCAUCUAAGCACGAAACUUGCCCCGAGAUGAGUUCUCCCUGACCCUUUAAGGGUCCUGAAGGAACGUUGAAGACGACGACGUUGAUAGGCCGGGUGUGUAAGCGCAGCGAUGCGUUGAGCUAACCGGUACUAAUGAACCGUGAGGCUUAACCUU